This is a long non-coding RNA of Neopsephotus bourkii (Bourke's parrot), 2693 nucleotides long. RefSeq lists it as uncharacterized. The transcript has 6 exons. NCBI's taxonomy places the organism in Eukaryota, Metazoa, Chordata, Aves, Psittaciformes, Psittacidae. The record is from RefSeq and is a predicted model, not a curated record.
GGCCACAGCUCACACCAGGCCCGGGGUGAUGCCACCAUCCCUCAUCCUGGCCCCUUCCCAGCACAGACAUGACGUUGGACUGCCGAAAAUGAUGAGUUUUCCUGAGUGGCCCCGCGGGUCAGGAAACACAAAUUACCCUCCUCGCAGCCCGCUCCGAGGACACGAGACACUUCUAUGUCGGCGUCGGAGGGAUUUUCGAGCAGUUCCCAUGGAAAAGGAAACUCCCCAUCUCUUGUGAUCACAUACGACAGGUCCUGUGCAUGUCUCCGGUAGCUUAAAACAACACCCCGAUAUUUAUUUUCCUUAAUUAAGAUUGCAUAAGAUAGCCCUGGGUCCUGGAGACUGCUGCACAGACUGUAAUGACGCCAUGUAAAUUGGGUUUUAUGACCCAAUAUACUCCAUAUUGUCACAUUCAGCCCUUGAAUAGGAAGCUAAAAAUCUUGGUCCCUAUUUUUCUUGUUAAUUAGGGUAUUAUUACUGGGGAUAUAAUCUCAUUACUUUUUGGGGAGGAGAAGAACGAGUUGGAGCCACUUUGAAAAGUCCUGAAUGUAUUUAAAUGAAGCAAAAUCCGUCUUCCUGCUAAUUGCUGAUUUUGCAUCACGCAGAAUUCUCGGUCUGAUUUGGGGGCCGGGUUUACGCUGUGCGAAGGGAGAGGGAAAAGAUGCUCUUUGCUUUUUUCCUGCUCGGCUCUCCCAUCCAGAUGAGUGAGGGCUGCCCCAUAGGAAACUCCGUCUGCAAAUUUCCAUUCUUUUAAACAUCACAAAAAUCAAAUAAGCUGCAGCCACUUUGAGUAAUAAUCAUUUGAAUGAAAUAUUUGCUACUUUAAGAUUUUUUCCCCUCUCUCUUCUUUCAGAUGAUCCUCUUGUUUUGCAUGUGAAAAAAAUCGUCUGAGAUUUACAGCCCUCCCAAAUGGAGAUAAAGCCUUGGCAAUGAGUUGGAAACCUGUUGUAAUCUGUGAUCCAGGAAACAAAGAGCCUCAUUAAUGCAGAGACUUUGAUGUUACUUCUUUCCCAUCCUAACUGAUGGCUUUCUGGAGACACACUGACAACAAGCCAGGGUGAGCCUGUCAGCAUCAUACUUCUCUGUGCUUCAGACUGGAAAUAAAAGGAAAGUGAGGAAAGAAGCCGUUCCAUCCCAAAUUACGGGCUCUUUGGGUGCCAGCCUGCAAUCCUGCUCAGCCAGGAGACUCUGUCCUCUAGGACUGGGACUCUGUGUUAUACCCUGUUGGAAGUCUGACCUCAGUGCUCUCAUUGGAAACCUCACAGGGUGCUACAGUGCUCCUGACUGAGGAAAAGUGCUUGGAUAAAGAUGCUCCAGUCAAGGUUCUUUAUUUACUGACCAUGGUUCCUGAGAGUUGAGCCUGCCUCUGAGGAUGCUGGUGCAUGAGCAUGGGUUCUGCAGGUGUGCCUGACUGGGCUUCCCUUCCUGGGGUGACAUUACACAGGGUGCUCCAGCCAUGCCUGGACAGGCUGUCUGCAAUGUGCAAGGAUCUCACUGGGGAAACACGAGCAUCCCUGGCUGCUGUCAGAAUCCUAUUUGAGCUGGUACCAAGCGCAGCAGUCACAUGCUGCAAGAUCAUCACUCAGGCCAGUGGCAGUCUGCUGAAAAACAAAGGGUUCCUGAGCAGUCAAGACAGGAAGAUAAAGCCCUGCCGUGCUAUUUAAAGCAGGGCAUUUAUGCCUGAAUGAAGUUCCUCCAAUCUUGGAGCAGGGUGUUUGCCUGGAAAGCUGGUAUUUACAUUCCACCCCAGGGACUGAGGCACCCUUGCACGCUUUCAUGUAGCUCCUUUCUUCCAAGUUUCUGCUUUACCUCCAGCAUCGUUACUCCCACAAUUACAACGUUCAGCUCCCAUCAAGCCAUUUGUAGCUUUAUUUUUGAUGAGCAGUGCACAGAGGCGCAGACAAGAGCAGUCUGUAGCUCAUUACCCUGCUCAGAUAAAAUGCUGUGUGCUUUGGGGCAGCCCCGUGCCUUAGGAAAACGGUGGUUUACAGAUGGGGAGUAGAGACAAAGAGCGGGUGAGCGCCUGGCCCGCGAUCCCACGGGAUGCUGGAGUGGUAUUUCUGUCUAGUGCCCUAACCACUGAACCAUCCUGUCUCCUGCUUUCGGGCAAAAGAGUCUGAAAAUGCCAUUGAUUAGAAAGUGCUGGUGAAGAAAAGGUGGAACUGACUAGACUGCACCAGGAGACGUGCAAAACCAAGCAGAAGGCACUACACAGCGUGGUGGAAAUUAGCUUCAUAGAACUUCUUUCUGCUUUAAUAAUCUCAGAUGCUAUUUAGAACACAGGAGCAAGGAGAUGUCUGGGGUUUGAAAAAGCAAGAUAUUAUUUUAAGCAGCUAAAUUCCCUUUAAUUAGUCUGAAAUUUGGGCUUUAUAACAAUGUAUUUCCAUGUGUGUGCCAGAAAGUCAGGGAAACAUGGAAAUCAUUGGCAGUUCACUGCUGGGAUACAGCAGAUCAUCUCAGUGAGACCUAGAGACAUUUUCUGCUGGUAGAAAACAUUUGUUUGGUGGUCCCUUUCCUUUGCUUUGUCAUCUCCCACUGCACAUCUGGUUUGGGAUGGAAUGAAUCAGGUUGUUUAUAUGAAGCAAUAUUUAAAUGAUUUUGGGGCUUUGUAAGUCUGGAAAAGUAAUUGUCAUCUUGGUGCUUAUGAUUUGAAGCCCUUUUGCUACCCCGGGUGAGCUUGGGUCACUGUGCAA